Molecule: ribosomal RNA, 500 nt
Filed under: uncultured bacterium
Lineage: Bacteria
Description: partial 16S ribosomal RNA
Rfam family: Bacterial small subunit ribosomal RNA
Source: RNAcentral
AUUGAACGCUGGCGGCAUGCCUUACACAUGCAAGUCGAACGGCAACACGGGAGCAAUCCUGGUGGCGAGUGGCGAACGGGUGAGUAAAGUAUCGGAACGUGCCCAGUCGUGGGGGAUAACGUAGCGAAAGUUACGCUAAUACCGCAUACGAUCUAUGGAUGAAAGCGGGGGAUCGCAAGACCUCGCGCGAUUGGAGCGGCCGAUAUCAGAUUAGGUAGUUGGUGGGGUAAAGGCUCACCAAGCCGACGAUCUGUAGCUGGUCUGAGAGGACGACCAGCCACACUGGGACUGAGACACGGCCCAGACUCCUACGGGAGGCAGCAGUGGGGAAUUUUGGACAAUGGGCGAAAGCCUGAUCCAGCCAUGCCGCGUACAGGAUGAAGGCCUUCGGGUUGUAAACUGCUUUUGUACGGAACGAAAAGGUUUGGCCUAAUAAGCUGAGCUCAUGACGGUACCGUAAGAAUAAGCACCGGCUAACUACGUGCCAGCAGCCGCAGUAA